Molecule: transfer RNA, 75 nt
Filed under: Candidatus Tayloriibacteriota bacterium
Lineage: Bacteria; Candidatus Tayloriibacteriota
Description: tRNA-Asn
Rfam family: tRNA
About the family: Transfer RNA (tRNA) molecules are approximately 80 nucleotides in length. Their secondary structure includes four short double-helical elements and three loops (D, anti-codon, and T loops). Further hydrogen bonds mediate the characteristic L-shaped molecular structure. tRNAs have two regions of fundamental functional importance: the anti-codon, which is responsible for specific mRNA codon recognition, and the 3' end, to which the tRNAs corresponding amino acid is attached (by aminoacyl-tRNA synthetases). tRNAs cope with the degeneracy of the genetic code in two manners: having more than one tRNA (with a specific anti-codon) for a particular amino acid; and 'wobble' base-pairing, i.e. permitting non-standard base-pairing at the 3rd anti-codon position.
Source: RNAcentral
UCCCCGGUGGCGCAGUGGUAGCGCAGUCGCCUGUUAAGCGAUUGGUCGUAGGUUCGAAUCCUACCCGGGGAGCAA